GGUUAAGCGACUAAGCGUACACGGUGGAUGCCCUGGCAGUCAGAGGCGAUGAAGGGCGUGCUAAUCUGCGAUAAGCGCCGGUAAGGUGAUAUGAACCGUUAUAACCGGCGAUACCCGAAUGGGGAAACCCAGUGUGAUUCGUCACACUAUCAUUAACUGAAUCCAUAGGUUAAUGAGGCGAACCGGGGGAACUGAAACAUCUAAGUACCCCGAGGAAAAGAAAUCAACCGAGAUUCCCCCAGUAGCGGCGAGCGAACGGGGAGGAGCCCAGAGCCUGAAUCAGCAUGUGUGUUAGUGGAAGCGUCUGGAAAGGCGCGCGAUACAGGGUGACAGCCCCGUACACAAAAGCGCAUGUGCUGUGAGCUCGAUGAGUAGGGCGGGACACGUGGUAUCCUGUCUGAAUAUGGGGGGACCAUCCUCCAAGGCUAAAUACUCCUGACUGACCGAUAGUGAACCAGUACCGUGAGGGAAAGGCGAAAAGAACCCCGGCGAGGGGAGUGAAAAAGAACCUGAAACCGUGUACGUACAAGCAGUGGGAGCCCCACCACUAAGCCAGUGGUGAACUCCACAUACGCAUCCUUUGCUGAGGAUACGGUUAACGGAGCGCAAGCGACGUUCAACCUCAAAAGAAGCAGAGGGGGCUUAGUGGUGGGGUGACUGCGUACCUUUUGUAUAAUGGGUCAGCGACUUAUAUUCUGUAGCAAGGUUAACCGUAUAGGGGAGCCGGAGGGAAACCGAGUCUUAAUUGGGCGUUAAGUUGCAGGGUAUAGACCCGAAACCCGGUGAUCUAGCCAUGGGCAGGUUGAAGGUUGGGUAACACUAACUGGAGGACCGAACCGACUAAUGUUGAAAAAUUAGCGGAUGACCUGUGGCUGGGGGUGAAAGGCCAAUCAAACCGGGAGAUAGCUGGUUCUCCCCGAAAGCUAUUUAGGUAGCGCCUCGUGAAUUCAUCUCCGGGGGUAGAGCACUGUUUCGGCUAGGGGGCCAUCCCGGCUUACCAACCCGAUGCAAACUGCGAAUACCGGAGAAUGUUAUCACGGGAGACACACGGCGGGUGCUAACGUCCGUCGUGAAGAGGGAAACAACCCAGACCGCCAGCUAAGGUCCCAAAGUCAUGGUUAAGUGGGAAACGAUGUGGGAAGGCCCAGACAGCCAGGAUGUUGGCUUAGAAGCAGCCAUCAUUUAAAGAAAGCGUAAUAGCUCACUGGUCGAGUCGGCCUGCGCGGAAGAUGUAACGGGGCUAAACCAUGCACCGAAGCUGCGGCAGCGACACUCAGGUGUUGUUGGGUAGGGGAGCGUUCUGUAAGCCUGCGAAGGUGGCCUGUGAGGGUUGCUGGAGGUAUCAGAAGUGCGAAUGCUGACAUAAGUAACGAUAAAGCGGGUGAAAAGCCCGCUCGCCGGAAGACCAAGGGUUCCUGUCCAACGUUAAUCGGGGCAGGGUGAGUCGACCCCUAAGGCGAGGCCGAAAGGCGUAGUCGAUGGGAAACGGGUUAAUAUUCCCGUACUUGGUGUUACUGCGAAGGGGGGACGGAGAAGGCUAUGUUGGCCGGGCGACGGUUGUCCCGGUUUAAGCGUGUAGGUGUGUGUUCCAGGUAAAUCCGGUUCACUUUAACACUGAGGCGUGACGACGAGGCACUACGGUGCUGAAGCAACAAAUGCCCUGCUUCCAGGAAAAGCCUCUAAGCAUCAGGUAACAUCAAAUCGUACCCCAAACCGACACAGGUGGUCAGGUAGAGAAUACCAAGGCGCUUGAGAGAACUCGGGUGAAGGAACUAGGCAAAAUGGUGCCGUAACUUCGGGAGAAGGCACGCUGACACGUAGGUGAAGUGAUUUACUCAUGGAGCUGAAGUCAGUCGAAGAUACCAGCUGGCUGCAACUGUUUAUUAAAAACACAGCACUGUGCAAACACGAAAGUGGACGUAUACGGUGUGACGCCUGCCCGGUGCCGGAAGGUUAAUUGAUGGGGUCAGCGCAAGCGAAGCUCCUGAUCGAAGCCCCGGUAAACGGCGGCCGUAACUAUAACGGUCCUAAGGUAGCGAAAUUCCUUGUCGGGUAAGUUCCGACCUGCACGAAUGGCGUAAUGAUGGCCAGGCUGUCUCCACCCGAGACUCAGUGAAAUUGAACUCGCUGUGAAGAUGCAGUGUACCCGCGGCAAGACGGAAAGACCCCGUGAACCUUUACUAUAGCUUGACACUGAACAUUGAGCCUUGAUGUGUAGGAUAGGUGGGAGGCUUUGAAGUGUGGACGCCAGUCUGCAUGGAGCCGACCUUGAAAUACCACCCUUUAAUGUUUGAUGUUCUAACGUGGACCCGUGAUCCGGGUUGCGGACAGUGUCUGGUGGGUAGUUUGACUGGGGCGGUCUCCUCCUAAAGAGUAACGGAGGAGCACGAAGGUUGGCUAAUCCUGGUCGGACAUCAGGAGGUUAGUGCAAUGGCAUAAGCCAGCUUGACUGCGAGCGUGACGGCGCGAGCAGGUGCGAAAGCAGGUCAUAGUGAUCCGGUGGUUCUGAAUGGAAGGGCCAUCGCUCAACGGAUAAAAGGUACUCCGGGGAUAACAGGCUGAUACCGCCCAAGAGUUCAUAUCGACGGCGGUGUUUGGCACCUCGAUGUCGGCUCAUCACAUCCUGGGGCUGAAGUAGGUCCCAAGGGUAUGGCUGUUCGCCAUUUAAAGUGGUACGCGAGCUGGGUUUAGAACGUCGUGAGACAGUUCGGUCCCUAUCUGCCGUGGGCGCUGGAGAACUGAGGGGGGCUGCUCCUAGUACGAGAGGACCGGAGUGGACGCAUCACUGGUGUUCGGGUUGUCAUGCCAAUGGCACUGCCCGGUAGCUAAAUGCGGAAGAGAUAAGUGCUGAAAGCAUCUAAGCACGAAACUUGCCCCGAGAUGAGUUCUCCCUGAGACUUUAAGUCUCCUGAAGGAACGUUGAAGACGACGACGUUGAUAGGCCGGGUGUGUAAGCGCAGCGAUGCGUUGAGCUAACCGGUACUAAUGAACCGUGAGGCUUAACCUU
Molecule: ribosomal RNA, 3007 nt
Filed under: Salmonella enterica
Lineage: Bacteria; Pseudomonadati; Pseudomonadota; Gammaproteobacteria; Enterobacterales; Enterobacteriaceae
Also listed under: 1 other name
Description: 23S ribosomal RNA
Rfam family: Bacterial large subunit ribosomal RNA
Source: RNAcentral